This 511-nucleotide ribosomal RNA is filed under the name Pseudoscione dorsoguttata. RNAcentral describes it as "eukaryotic LSU rRNA". It matches the Rfam family "Eukaryotic large subunit ribosomal RNA", at positions 2287 to 2636 of the family's 3401-position model. The record is from RNAcentral. Lineage: Eukaryota; Metazoa; Arthropoda; Insecta; Diptera; Tabanidae.
AUGCCUCGUCAUCUAAUUAGUGACGCGCAUGAAUGGAUUAACGAGAUUCCUACUGUCCCUAUCUACUAUCUAGCGAAACCACAGCCAAGGGAACGGGCUUGGAAUAAUUAGCGGGGAAAGAAGACCCUGUUGAGCUUGACUCUAGUCUGGCAGUGUAAGGAGACAUAAGAGGUGUAGCAUAAGUGGGAGAUAUAUUAGUUUCGGCUAAAUAUAUCAAAAAUGAAAUACCACUACUCUUAUUGUUUCCUUACUUACUUGAUAAAAUGGAACGUGUAUCAUUCACUUAGCUAUUACACGGAUAUAUUUAUAUAUUUUAUGGUAUUUUGUUUUGAUGCGAGCUUCUUGUUUAAAGUACCAAGAGUUUGUUAUAUACACCAAACAAAUAUCAAUUAAAUUUACUUUCCAUUAAUAAUGGUUUGUUAAAUAUUAUUUGAAUUUGGUAUAACUAUUAUACUCAGGUAUGAUCCAAUUCAAGGACAUUGCCAGGUGGGGAGUUUGACUGGGGCGGUAC